GGGUUGUGAGGUUAAGCGACUAAGCGUACACGGUGGAUGCCCUGGCAGUCAGAGGCGAUGAAGGACGUGCUAAUCUGCGAUAAGCGCCGGUAAGGUGAUAUGAACCGUUAUAACCGGCGAUUUCCGAAUGGGGAAACCCAGUGUGAUUCGUCACACUAUCAUUAACUGAAUCCAUAGGUUAAUGAGGCGAACCGGGGGAACUGAAACAUCUAAGUACCCCGAGGAAAAGAAAUCAACCGAGAUUCCCCCAGUAGCGGCGAGCGAACGGGGAGGAGCCCAGAGCCUGAAUCAGCAUGUGUGUUAGUGGAAGCGUCUGGAAAGGCGCGCGAUACAGGGUGACAGCCCCGUACACAAAAGCGCAUGUGCUGUGAGCUCGAUGAGUAGGGCGGGACACGUGGUAUCCUGUCUGAAUAUGGGGGGACCAUCCUCCAAGGCUAAAUACUCCUGACUGACCGAUAGUGAACCAGUACCGUGAGGGAAAGGCGAAAAGAACCCCGGCGAGGGGAGUGAAAAAGAACCUGAAACCGUGUACGUACAAGCAGUGGGAGCACAGGUUUACCUGUGUGACUGCGUACCUUUUGUAUAAUGGGUCAGCGACUUAUAUUCUGUAGCAAGGUUAACCGUAUAGGGGAGCCGUAGGGAAACCGAGUCUUAACCGGGCGUUAAGUUGCAGGGUAUAGACCCGAAACCCGGUGAUCUAGCCAUGGGCAGGUUGAAGGUUGGGUAACACUAACUGGAGGACCGAACCGACUAAUGUUGAAAAAUUAGCGGAUGACCUGUGGCUGGGGGUGAAAGGCCAAUCAAACCGGGAGAUAGCUGGUUCUCCCCGAAAGCUAUUUAGGUAGCGCCUCGUGAAUUCAUCUCCGGGGGUAGAGCACUGUUUCGGCUAGGGGGCCAUCCCGGCUUACCAACCCGAUGCAAACUGCGAAUACCGGAGAAUGUUAUCACGGGAGACACACGGCGGGUGCUAACGUCCGUCGUGAAGAGGGAAACAACCCAGACCGCCAGCUAAGGUCCCAAAGUCAUGGUUAAGUGGGAAACGAUGUGGGAAGGCCCAGACAGCCAGGAUGUUGGCUUAGAAGCAGCCAUCAUUUAAAGAAAGCGUAAUAGCUCACUGGUCGAGUCGGCCUGCGCGGAAGAUGUAACGGGGCUAAACCAUGCACCGAAGCUGCGGCAGCGACACUGUGUGUUGUUGGGUAGGGGAGCGUUCUGUAAGCCUGUGAAGGUGUGUCGUGAGGCAUGCUGGAGGUAUCAGAAGUGCGAAUGCUGACAUAAGUAACGAUAAAGCGGGUGAAAAGCCCGCUCGCCGGAAGACCAAGGGUUCCUGUCCAACGUUAAUCGGGGCAGGGUGAGUCGACCCCUAAGGCGAGGCCGAAAGGCGUAGUCGAUGGGAAACGGGUUAAUAUUCCCGUACUUGGUGUUACUGCGAAGGGGGGACGGAGAAGGCUAUGUUGGCCGGGCGACGGUUGUCCCGGUUUAAGCGUGUAGGUGUGUGUUCCAGGUAAAUCCGGUUCACUUUAACACUGAGGCGUGACGACGAGGCACUACGGUGCUGAAGCAACAAAUGCCCUGCUUCCAGGAAAAGCCUCUAAGCAUCAGGUAACAUCAAAUCGUACCCCAAACCGACACAGGUGGUCAGGUAGAGAAUACCAAGGCGCUUGAGAGAACUCGGGUGAAGGAACUAGGCAAAAUGGUGCCGUAACUUCGGGAGAAGGCACGCUGACACGUAGGUGAAGUGAUUUACUCAUGGAGCUGAAGUCAGUCGAAGAUACCAGCUGGCUGCAACUGUUUAUUAAAAACACAGCACUGUGCAAACACGAAAGUGGACGUAUACGGUGUGACGCCUGCCCGGUGCCGGAAGGUUAAUUGAUGGGGUCAGCGCAAGCGAAGCUCCUGAUCGAAGCCCCGGUAAACGGCGGCCGUAACUAUAACGGUCCUAAGGUAGCGAAAUUCCUUGUCGGGUAAGUUCCGACCUGCACGAAUGGCGUAAUGAUGGCCAGGCUGUCUCCACCCGAGACUCAGUGAAAUUGAACUCGCUGUGAAGAUGCAGUGUACCCGCGGCAAGACGGAAAGACCCCGUGAACCUUUACUAUAGCUUGACACUGAACAUUGAGCCUUGAUGUGUAGGAUAGGUGGGAGGCUUUGAAGCGUGGACGCCAGUCUGCGUGGAGCCGACCUUGAAAUACCACCCUUUAAUGUUUGAUGUUCUAACGUGGACCCGUAAUCCGGGUUGCGGACAGUGUCUGGUGGGUAGUUUGACUGGGGCGGUCUCCUCCUAAAGAGUAACGGAGGAGCACGAAGGUUGGCUAAUCCUGGUCGGACAUCAGGAGGUUAGUGCAAUGGCAUAAGCCAGCUUGACUGCGAGCGUGACGGCGCGAGCAGGUGCGAAAGCAGGUCAUAGUGAUCCGGUGGUUCUGAAUGGAAGGGCCAUCGCUCAACGGAUAAAAGGUACUCCGGGGAUAACAGGCUGAUACCGCCCAAGAGUUCAUAUCGACGGCGGUGUUUGGCACCUCGAUGUCGGCUCAUCACAUCCUGGGGCUGAAGUAGGUCCCAAGGGUAUGGCUGUUCGCCAUUUAAAGUGGUACGCGAGCUGGGUUUAGAACGUCGUGAGACAGUUCGGUCCCUAUCUGCCGUGGGCGCUGGAGAACUGAGGGGGGCUGCUCCUAGUACGAGAGGACCGGAGUGGACGCAUCACUGGUGUUCGGGUUGUCAUGCCAAUGGCACUGCCCGGUAGCUAAAUGCGGAAGAGAUAAGUGCUGAAAGCAUCUAAGCACGAAACUUGCCCCGAGAUGAGUUCUCCCUGAGACUUAGAGUCUCCUGAAGGAACGUUGAAGACGACGACGUUGAUAGGCCGGGUGUGUAAGCGCAGCGAUGCGUUGAGCUAACCGGUACUAAUGAACCGUGAGGCUUAACCUUACAACGCCGAAG
RNAcentral lists this ribosomal RNA (2928 nucleotides) under Salmonella enterica subsp. enterica serovar Heidelberg. Its description in RNAcentral is "bacterial LSU rRNA". It matches the Rfam family "Bacterial large subunit ribosomal RNA". The record is from RNAcentral. Lineage: Bacteria; Pseudomonadati; Pseudomonadota; Gammaproteobacteria; Enterobacterales; Enterobacteriaceae.